ACGAACGCUGGCGGCGUGCUUAACACCUGCAAGUCGAACGGAAAGGCCCUGCUUUUGUGGGGUGCUCGAGUGGCGAACGGGUGAGUAACACGUGAGUAACCUGCCCUUGACUUUGGGAUAACUUCAGGAAACUGGGGCUAAUACCGGAUAGGAGCUCCUGCUGCAUGGUGGGGGUUGGAAAGUUUCGGCGGUUGGGGAUGGACUCGCGGCUUAUCAGCUUGUUGGUGGGGUAGUGGCUUACCAAGGCUUUGACGGGUAGCCGGCCUGAGAGGGUGACCGGCCACAUUGGGACUAAGAUACGGCCCAGACUCCUACGGGAGGCAGCAGUGGGGAAUAUUGCACAAUGGGCGGAAGCCUGAUGCAGCAACGCCGCGUGCGGGAUGACGGCCUUCGGGUUGUAAACCGCUUUCGCCUGUGACGAAGCGUGAGUGACGGUAAUGGGUAAAGAAGCACCGGCUAACUACGUG
Molecule: ribosomal RNA, 467 nt
Filed under: uncultured bacterium
Lineage: Bacteria
Description: partial 16S ribosomal RNA
Rfam family: Bacterial small subunit ribosomal RNA
Source: RNAcentral